ACGGAUAUGACGGAAUUGGUAAACGUGCCAGGUUUAGGUCCUGGUGAGCUCUUGUUCAUGGGGGUUCGAGUCCCCCUAUCCGUA
Molecule: transfer RNA, 84 nt
Filed under: Wolbachia endosymbiont of Cruorifilaria tuberocauda
Lineage: Bacteria; Pseudomonadati; Pseudomonadota; Alphaproteobacteria; Rickettsiales; Anaplasmataceae
Description: tRNA-Leu
Rfam family: tRNA
About the family: Transfer RNA (tRNA) molecules are approximately 80 nucleotides in length. Their secondary structure includes four short double-helical elements and three loops (D, anti-codon, and T loops). Further hydrogen bonds mediate the characteristic L-shaped molecular structure. tRNAs have two regions of fundamental functional importance: the anti-codon, which is responsible for specific mRNA codon recognition, and the 3' end, to which the tRNAs corresponding amino acid is attached (by aminoacyl-tRNA synthetases). tRNAs cope with the degeneracy of the genetic code in two manners: having more than one tRNA (with a specific anti-codon) for a particular amino acid; and 'wobble' base-pairing, i.e. permitting non-standard base-pairing at the 3rd anti-codon position.
Source: RNAcentral